GGAUAUCUCUUUUUGGAACUACUCACAAUCCAUUUUAGUUUUAACCACCUAAACAGCUCAGUGUCAUCAACAAACUUGGCUAUUUCACUACUUACUCAUAAUUCCAGAUCAUUUAUGAAUAGAUGGGAAAGACACCAUUUUCUAGCCAAUUUUC
Molecule: long non-coding RNA, 154 nt
Organism: Varanus komodoensis (Komodo dragon)
Lineage: Eukaryota; Metazoa; Chordata; Lepidosauria; Squamata; Varanidae
Exons: 3
Source: RefSeq, a predicted model, not a curated record